UUGUUUCAGUGGGUUUAAGCCCCCUAGAAGUGCCAAGUAGAAGGACCUCCCUGUAAAUAGUGAUCAAGGUCCUUCGCCUCCAAACAAAUGAUUUGGGUAUCCAUUACAUAUCUGUAGCUCAAGGACCAUGCUUAAAUAUGGGCUCGGGUCUCUUUCUGUUUAACACCUUUGGAACCUAAUCUUUUAAAUGCCCUGUGUGAUUCACCUCUCCUUGCAACAAGGGUUCAAUCCCCACCCCUGAGAUGGAGUGGCCUCCCACUGAGCUGGAGGUAGGGUGAUCAGAUAUCUCGAUUUUAUACGGACAGUCCUGAUUUUUGGGUCUUUUUCUUAUAUAGCCUCCUAUUACCCCCCACCCUCUGUCCCGAUUUUUCACAUUUGCUGUUUGGUCACCCUAGCUGGAGGGGGAGGGACCACUCUCUGAUCCCUAAUGGGUGGAGCCAGGCUGGGCUCACCCCUCCUGCAAGAAGCUAAGGGGGUGGGGCAGGAAGUAUAAAAGGCAGAGCCACUAAUAUAGCUCAUCUUGAGACAGGGAAGGGAGUGGAUGUUUCCAGAGCCUGCAGCUGCACUAUGCUCUGCCUGAGGAUGAGGCUAACCUAGGAGAAAUGCUGGGAUUGCUGCUUGCUGUGUACCUUGAGAAGAUGGAGGAUGACCCUGAGCUGCAGCGUCGUGAAUCGUGUGGGGAACUCCAUUUAAGGUGGUGUAGCUCGAUGCCCUCACAGAGGCAAUGGAUCAAAUAUAUCUGGACAGCAUGGAACAGACCUUUCUGCGGGGAAGACCAGGAGCACGUCGUGAUCAAUGCGCACCUAGCAAUCGAGGCUGCUGGAAGCCAGAGCGUGGCCGGUGUUUUCUUUCUGACUUGCCGGAUCAUGGCUGUGGCGAUACACGGACGUUCAGGGAGUGACCCGCAAGUCGUUUGGCAGUGAGCGGUCCUGCUUGGGAGCCACGGCAGCAAGGCAUUGUGAGGCACCCCACGCUGCAGGGGAGGUUGUGUAUUUCUAGGGUGAUUGUACAAGUUAUAAAGCUCUUCAUGUCACUAAAAUCCAGCUCAUCAGUUGGUUACAAUUCUUCCACUCAUUACUCCUGGGGGAAUUGGGCACCCCUGUGUGUGUGCAGAAUUUAUGUCCCUCGCAAAUUUCUUUGCUUCCCCACAGAAAAAUGACUUUUUGAUGAGGAAGCUGCAAGAGCGAUCGUGCAGCCUUCCCAGCAGUACGUUUUGGUGUCCAGGGCAGCCGGCAGAGAGGCCGAGCGGUACUAUCGCAACAUGUGGAUUACCUCCUUUGCGUUGCCUGGGCGUUCAGUUCGGCCUGCCUUCCGGUUAUAAUGCAGAGCAAUCCCAGGGCUGCUGCAAUCCACCUCCUGGGACCAGGAGGUU
This is a long non-coding RNA of Mauremys mutica (yellowpond turtle), 1372 nucleotides long. RefSeq lists it as uncharacterized. Lineage: Eukaryota; Metazoa; Chordata; Testudines; Geoemydidae. The transcript is spliced from 3 exons. The record is from RefSeq and is a predicted model, not a curated record.